Molecule: ribosomal RNA, 253 nt
Filed under: uncultured bacterium
Lineage: Bacteria
Description: partial 16S ribosomal RNA
Rfam family: Bacterial small subunit ribosomal RNA
Source: RNAcentral
UACAGAGGUCCCGAGCGUUGUUCGGAUUCACUGGGCGUAAAGGGUGCGUAGGCGGGUCUUUAAGUCAGGGGUGAAAUCCUGGAGCUCAACUCCAGAACUGCCUUUGAUACUGAGGAUCUUGAGUUCGGGAGAGGUGAGUGGAACUGCGAGUGUAGAGGUGAAAUUCGUAGAUAUUCGCAAGAACACCAGUGGCGAAGGCGGCUCACUGGCCCGAUACUGACGCUGAGGCACGAAAGCGUGGGGAGCAAACAGG